UACCUGUCCCUUGUUCCCCUAGCUCCAGAACAGCUCCCAUGUGCAUAAUGGGAGUGCAGACUUUCCCCACACUGCCCUGUCAGUGUGCCUCAACUGUGAAGGUGGGACAUCCUUUAAGGGUAGAAAAGGAAUAAAGUCUCCAUGGCUUAU
RNAcentral lists this small RNA (150 nucleotides) under Crocodylus porosus (Australian saltwater crocodile). RNAcentral's name for it is "TUC338 (ENSCPRG00005010082.1)". The record is from RNAcentral. Lineage: Eukaryota; Metazoa; Chordata; Crocodylia; Crocodylidae.